AGGUGUGGCCUGGACUACAAUAGAGCCGACCCAACCAGAGCCCACCUUAUCGCCGCAUACAAGCCGUGGUCGCCGCCGCCAUGGCCGCUCAGACUUUCAUCCUCGCCGCCGCCGCGCCGGCAGCCGCCCUCUUCCCCAGUCCAUCGUCCUCUGCUCGCCCUUUCCACUCCCUCCGACUCGUCGCCGGCCCCGGGGGCGCCGCCGCUGCCAGGGCGCUCGUCCUCGCCGACGCCACCAAGAAGGCCGUCGCCGUCCUCAAGGGCACAUCCGAGGUCGAGGGCGUCGUCACGCUCACGCAGGAGGACGACGGUCCUACAACAGUGAACGUCCGUCUCACUGGACUUACUCCUGGACUUCAUGGCUUCCACCUCCAUGAGUUUGGUGAUACUACCAAUGGGUGCAUAUCAACAGGACCACAUUUUAAUCCAAACAAUAUGACACACGGUGCACCAGAAGAUGAAGUACGUCAUGCGGGUGACCUGGGAAACAUUGUUGCCAACGCUGAAGGUGUAGCUGAGGCAACCAUUGUUGAUAAACAGAUUCCUUUGAGUGGCCCAAAUUCAGUUGUUGGAAGAGCAUUUGUCGUUCAUGAGCUUGAAGAUGAUUUGGGGAAAGGGGGCCAUGAGCUUAGCCUCAGUACUGGAAAUGCUGGUGGAAGACUGGCAUGCGGUGUGUUCUCUCUGACAUAUUUGUGAUUCUAUGAAUGUGGAUAUUUGAUAGUAAUUUUACGUAAGUAUAAAUGAGAAAGAUAUCGAAAUUUCUGAUCAGUGUCCAUUGCGAUGAUGACGGAAAUAAGCCACUGCAACAGUUUUACCUGAAGCAUUGCUGAAUAUUUGCUCUAUGCAAUGUUUCAAGCGCAUUUGUCUAAUCACUGUGUUUCUUGCGCAGGUGUUGUUGGCCUGACUCCAUUGUAGGUCGCUGGCUGUCUUGAAGUUUGGAGUGUCACUGUCACAUCCAUGCUAGCCCGUCUUCAGUCGUGCUUGGGACAGUGCCUUUUUUGUAUUACAUGGAUUUGCACCACGUGUGGGUGCUUAGUAGCCUUUGCCGAUCGGUUAUAUCAGAAAAAUAAUGUUUAGUUGAGCAAAUAAGUGUUUUCACAUAUCCUUAUCGAUCUAUGAAGCACUAUCUAUGAACAUCAGCUGUUUAUCGCUAUGAUGUUUUACCUGUACUCCAGUUAUUUUUAAAACUUCUGAAGAUCUCUGUGUUAUUGCA
This is an RNA transcript of Phragmites australis (common reed), 1212 nucleotides long. It is a transcript of the gene named superoxide dismutase [Cu-Zn], chloroplastic, with no coding region annotated. Lineage: Eukaryota; Viridiplantae; Streptophyta; Magnoliopsida; Poales; Poaceae. The record is from RefSeq and is a predicted model, not a curated record. The transcript is spliced from 8 exons.